RNAcentral lists this ribosomal RNA (253 nucleotides) under uncultured bacterium. RNAcentral's name for it is "partial 16S ribosomal RNA". It matches the Rfam family "Bacterial small subunit ribosomal RNA", at positions 524 to 776 of the family's 1533-position model. The record is from RNAcentral.
UACGAAGGGGGUUAGCGGUGGUUGGAAUCACUGGGCGUAAAGCGCACGUAGGCGGAUUGUUAAGUCAGGGGUGAAAUCCCGAGGCUCAACCUCGGAACUGCCUUUGAUACUGGCGAUCUAGAGUCCGGGAGAGGUGAGUGGAACUGCGAGUGUAGAGGUGAAAUUCGUAGAUAUUCGCAAGAACACCAGUGGCGAAGGCGGCUCACUGGCCCGGAACUGACGCUGAGGUGCGAAAGCGUGGGGAGCAAACAGG